RNAcentral lists this ribosomal RNA (441 nucleotides) under uncultured bacterium. RNAcentral's name for it is "partial 16S ribosomal RNA". It matches the Rfam family "Bacterial small subunit ribosomal RNA", at positions 338 to 795 of the family's 1533-position model. The record is from RNAcentral.
CCUACGGGUGGCAGCAGUGGGGGAUAUUGCACAAUGGGGGGAACCCUGAUGCAGCGACGCCGCGUGGGUGAAGGAGCGUUUCGGCGCGUAAAGCCCUAUCGGCAGGGAAGAAGGAGGACGGUACCUUACUAGGAAGCCCCGGCUAACUACGUGCCAGCAGCCGCGGGAAUACGUAGGGGGCAAGCGUUAUCCGGAUUUACUGGGUGUAAAGGGGGCGCAGACGGCAGCGCAAGCCAGGAGUGAAAGCCCGGGGCCCAACCCCGGAACUGCUCUUGGAACUGCGCGGCUGGAGUGCAGGAGGGGCAGGCGGAAUUCCUGGUGUAGCGGUGAAAUGCGUAGAUAUCAGGAGGAACACCGGUGGCGAAGGCGGCCUGCUGGACUGCGACUGACGUUGAGGCCCGAAAGCGUGGGGAGCAAACAGGAUUAGAUACCCGAGUAGUC